Molecule: ribosomal RNA, 482 nt
Filed under: uncultured bacterium
Lineage: Bacteria
Description: partial 16S ribosomal RNA
Rfam family: Bacterial small subunit ribosomal RNA
Source: RNAcentral
AUUGAACGCUGGCGGCAUGCCUUACACAUGCAAGUCGAACGGUAACAGGUCUUCGGAUGCUGACGAGUGGCGAACGGGUGAGUAAUACAUCGGAACGUGCCCGAUCGUGGGGGAUAACGAAGCGAAAGCUUUGCUAAUACCGCAUACGAUCUACGGAUGAAAGCAGGGGACCGCAAGGCCUUGCGCGAACGGAGCGGCCGAUGGCAGAUUAGGUAGUUGGUGGGAUAAAAGCUUACCAAGCCGACGAUCUGUAGCUGGUCUGAGAGGACGACCAGCCACACUGGGACUGAGACACGGCCCAGACUCCUACGGGAGGCAGCAGUGGGGAAUUUUGGACAAUGGGCGAAAGCCUGAUCCAGCCAUGCCGCGUGCAGGAUGAAGGCCUUCGGGUUGUAAACUGCUUUUGUACGGAAAGAAAAGACUCUGGUUAAUACCUGGGGUCCAUGACGGUACCGUAAGAAUAAGCACCGGCUAACUACGUG